CACGUAGGAGGCAAGCGUUAUCCGGAUUUACUGGGCGUAAAGCGCGUGCAGGCGGUUUGGAAAGUUGGAUGUUAAAGCUCCCGGCUUAACUGGGAGAGGUCGUUCAAUACUUCUAGACUGGAGUAUGGGAGAGGGAGGUGGAAUUCCGGGUGUAGUGGUGAAAUGCGUAGAUAUCCGGAGGAACACCAGUGGCGAAAGCGGCCUCCUGGCCCAUUACUGACGCUCAGACGCGAAAGCUAGGGUAGCAAAC
RNAcentral lists this ribosomal RNA (250 nucleotides) under uncultured bacterium. Its description in RNAcentral is "partial 16S ribosomal RNA". It matches the Rfam family "Bacterial small subunit ribosomal RNA", at positions 524 to 773 of the family's 1533-position model. The record is from RNAcentral.